AGGUCUUUAAGGACAAUAUAUUGCACUAAUAUUGAACAUAUGGUAUGUAUAGCCUAAGGAUUCGUUUGCACAUGUUGUGUAUUAGUAUUAAUACUGAGUAGGGCAUUUUGGAGACCGAGCUCCAUGGAGCCCUUUAUUUUGAAAAAUUUAAAAUUCACAAAUUUUGGUUUAAAAAAUUCUGAAAACAAUUAGACAUGUAUGCAAGGAUGUAAAGUGUAUGUGUGAAAUUUUUUAGGAUGAAAUACCUUGAAUUGCGAGCUGCACACAAAAAAAACAAAAUCAUGGACUUUAAAGAUGAACAGUACAUAUGCUAAAAAGCCUCAGAUAUAUCUUUUUUGUGUAGCUCAUAUUUUAUUGUAUUUCGAACUUCAAAUUUGCACACGUGUACAUAAUGUAUCUAGGUAUAUGUGUAUUUAUUUUCAGAAUUUUUUGAAACUGAAAAGUUUGAAUUUUGAAGUUUUCAAAUAAAGGCCUCCAUGGAGCUCGGUCUCCGUUUGGCAUUUUUGAUUAAUACUUCACUUUUAAAUUUUACAUAUAGGUCACUGCCGCGGAGUUAAAGGACUUCUUCGAGAGACAUUUUGGCUCGGUUAGCAAAUUCAACAAAAAACAUCAUAUAUAAUUGUAUUCAUUUUUUAAAAAAAUUGCAAAAGAAAAACAAGUAUAAUACAUGUGUAUCCUUGUUUCAAUGGAUUAUAGGUUUCUCAUGUGAGGCUUUUGGGUCAUAACAACCAUGCCACUCAGAUAGCUUUUAUUGAGUUUGUGGAGAUGAUAAUCUCAAUCCAUUAUAUCUUCUAUUGUGUUAUAUAUUUUACUUGGCUAUAAUUAUAUGUGUAUCCAUCCUCGUACUUAUCAUGUGGACAUCGUACUUGUAUGUGUGUGACCCACUCUAUUUUCAUGUACAUAUAUCUUAU
This 911-nucleotide long non-coding RNA is filed under the name Triticum aestivum (bread wheat). RNAcentral describes it as "long non-coding RNA (TAES_LNC005642)". The record is from RNAcentral. Lineage: Eukaryota; Viridiplantae; Streptophyta; Magnoliopsida; Poales; Poaceae.